This 213-nucleotide ribosomal RNA is filed under the name uncultured bacterium. Its description in RNAcentral is "partial 16S ribosomal RNA". It matches the Rfam family "Bacterial small subunit ribosomal RNA", at positions 1280 to 1500 of the family's 1533-position model. The record is from RNAcentral.
AGCCUGUCUCAGUUCGGAUCGGAGUCUGCAACCCGACUCCGUGAAGCUGGAUUCGCUAGUAAUCGCGCAUCAGCCAUGGCGCGGUGAAUACGUUCCCGGGCCUUGUACACACCGCCCGUCAAGCCAUGGGAGCCGGGGGUGCUUGAAGUGCGUCGCCGCAAGGCGCGCCCUAGAGCAAAACCGGUGACUGGGGCUAAGUCGUAACAAGGUAAC